UUCGACUUAGGAAUCCCGUACAACUUCAGAUAAGUUAAGAUAAGGUAGGAAAGCUACAAGCCAGUCUUAAUUCCAGCAGACUAAGAUUCAGUUUCAAGUCUCUUAGCCUUGACUUUCGAUGAAUGAGAAGUCUAGUUAGGCAGUGAAAACCCUGGGAAGUCAGGAAGUUCAAGUUAGAGGGCAUAUUCAUAUGAAAUAACAUAUGAUGAGACUGGUCAAUCUUUCUCAUUGCUUGACUAAAGAAUG
This 246-nucleotide long non-coding RNA is filed under the name Capsicum annuum. Its description in RNAcentral is "long non-coding RNA (CANN_LNC003365)". Lineage: Eukaryota; Viridiplantae; Streptophyta; Magnoliopsida; Solanales; Solanaceae. The record is from RNAcentral.